Molecule: ribosomal RNA, 914 nt
Filed under: Stylochus oculiferus
Lineage: Eukaryota; Metazoa; Platyhelminthes; Polycladida; Stylochidae
Description: eukaryotic LSU rRNA
Rfam family: Eukaryotic large subunit ribosomal RNA
Source: RNAcentral
GCCCAGCACCGAAUCCUGUACCGUCCUGGUACUAGGAAAUGUGGUGUUUAGGCCGUGCUUUGCGCUGGUACGACUCUCCUCAAGUCCACUUGAUUGUGGCUUCAGGCCCAGAGAGGGUGUAAGGCCCGUGGAGGCGAGUUGUCUAGUGCCCGGCACGUCCUUAGAGUCGGGUUGUUUGGGAAUGCAGCCCUAAGCGGGUGGUAAACUCCAUCCAAGGCUAAAUACUAGCACGAGUCCGAUAGCGAAGAAGUACCGCGAGGGAAAGUUGAAAAGAACUUUGAAGAGAGAGUUCAAGAGUACGUGAAACCGCUGAGAGGCAAACUGGUGGAGCUGAAAUGGCUUUGAGGAAUUCAGCCCUUCGCAUGGCGGAUGAUGCCGGUUGUGGGAUCUCACGACUCCGCUGGUGUUAUUCUGUUGUGUGAUAGGUGCACUUUCCUCUUAGUCGGACCACGACCAGCGAACUGUCUUGUCUAAGAUUUGUGGAAGGUAGCUUCUACUUCGGUCGAAGUGUUAUAGCCACUUAUUUGGAGCGAGCGGUGCGUUGGAUAACUUGAUGCCUGCCCUUCGGGCUCGUACGUUAGCUUUUUUCUGCGGUGUUUCCGGCUUCACUGCUUCGGCAGGGGUGUUGGGGAUACUGUGGUUCGAGUUGGCCUCUGCGAUUGGCGUCUACAGUCAGUGGUUUCGAAGUAGGCAGUCCACCUGACCCGUCUUGAAACACGGACCAAGGAGUCUAACAUGUGCGCGAGUCAUUGGGCUCUACGAAACCUAAAGGCGCAGUGAAAGUGAAGAUCCAUUUUGGUGGAUUGAGGUAGGAUCCUGGGUUACGUGCUCAGGCGCACUACCGGCCCGUUCGACAUGUUUUCAUGCGGGCGGAGCAAGAGCGUACACGUUGGGACCCGAAAGAUGGUGAACUA